AAAACAAAAACAAUAACGAAUUAGAUCUUCCAUUAAUUCUAAUAAAUUCUUUGGCAAUCUCAAUCGAUUAAAAAUUUAUUUUUAAUCCGUUACAUCCCUCGAGCGUUGUGACAUCGUGUUUCGGAGAGAAUCAGUCCAUUGGAUUAACAAAACCAUCUACAAGGAUCACAUCACCCUCAAAGAUUACGAGAUCCACGACGGCAUGGGCCUCGAGCUCUACUACAACUAAAAUUCCUCUUCAAAGGUGCUAUUAAUGGCGUAAGAUAGUAUGUGCUGAGAACUGGAUAAAUGUGUCCAAUGUAAUUUUUGACUUGUAAAAGAAAAGACUCCUUUGAUUGGAAUAAUGCCCAUACCCAAUGAUAUUGGGUUUAAUUUGCUGUUGGAACAAUCUGUUGUAAUUUAACGUGUUUUUGGUCAUGAAUAUGGAAUAAUUUUUAGGUAUC
Molecule: non-coding RNA, 443 nt
Organism: Arachis ipaensis
Lineage: Eukaryota; Viridiplantae; Streptophyta; Magnoliopsida; Fabales; Fabaceae
Source: RefSeq, a predicted model, not a curated record